Molecule: ribosomal RNA, 874 nt
Filed under: Heterosigma akashiwo
Lineage: Eukaryota; Raphidophyceae; Chattonellales; Chattonellaceae
Description: partial Bacterial large subunit ribosomal RNA
Rfam family: Bacterial large subunit ribosomal RNA
Source: RNAcentral
GCUGGUUCUCCGCGAAAACUAUUUAGGUAGUGCGUUGGAUGUAUCCCUCGGGGGGUAGAGCACUGGAUGAGGAAUGGGGGCUUACCGCCUUACUGACUUCAACCAAACUCCGAAUACCCGAGAGGACUGUCCAGCAGACACACGGCAGGUGCUAACGUCUGUCGUGGAGAGGGAAACAACCCUGAUCACCAGCUAAGGCCCCCAAAUCGUGGCUAAGUGUGAAAGGAUGUAGAGACCCCAAAACAACCAGGAUGUUGGCUUAGAAGCAGCCAUCAUUUAAAGAAAGCGUAACAGCUCACUGGUCUAAACAAGGGUCUCCGCGCCGAAAAUGUAACGGGGCUAAAGCCACGUGCCGAAGCUGUGGGCUCACUUUGUGAGCGGUAGCGGAGCGUUCCGUAGGCCUGCGAAGGGAGACUCGUGAGAGCUCCUGGAGGUAUCGGAAGUGCGAAUGCUGACAUGAGUAACGUAAGGAGUGUGAGAGACACUCCCGCCGAAAGUCCAAGGGUUCCUGCGUAAAGCUAAUCUGCGCAGGGUUAGUCGGCCCCUAAGGCGAACCCGAAAGGGGUAGUCGAUGGGAACGCGGUUAAUAUUCCGCGACCAGGGAUGAGUGACGAAUGCCGGAAGUUGUCCGACCUUACUGGAUUGGUUGGGCAGCCUGGGUGUUCCAGGAAAUAGCUCCCCAAAUGACCGUACCCGAAACCGACUCUGGUGGACUGGUAGAGUAUACCGAGGCGCUUGAGAGAACGAUGCUGAAGGAACUCGGCAAAUUACCUCCGUAACUUCGGGAGAAGGAGGCCUCUGGCUCGGGCAACCGGGUUGGAGGGGCACAGACCAGGGGGUAGCGACUGUUUAUCAAAAACACAGGGCUCUGCGA